UAUUAGGUAAUGAUGGAUUCCCACUUUGAG
RNAcentral lists this non-coding RNA (30 nucleotides) under Rattus norvegicus (Norway rat). The record is from RNAcentral. Lineage: Eukaryota; Metazoa; Chordata; Mammalia; Rodentia; Muridae.